This 293-nucleotide ribosomal RNA is filed under the name uncultured eukaryote. Its description in RNAcentral is "partial 18S ribosomal RNA". It matches the Rfam family "Eukaryotic small subunit ribosomal RNA", at positions 6 to 302 of the family's 1831-position model. The record is from RNAcentral.
GGUUGAUCCUGCCAGUAGUCAUAUGCUUGUCUCAAAGAUUAAGCCAUGCAUGUCUAAGUAUAAGCACUUUAUACUGUGAAACUGCGAAUGGCUCAUUAAAUCAGUUAUAAUUUACUUGAUAGUACCUUACUACUUGGAUAACAGUGGUAAUUCUAGUGCUAAUACAUGCUUUAAGCCCCGACUUCUGGAAGGGGUGUAUUUAUUAGAUUAAAAACCAAUCGUAGCAAUACGUUUACUGGUGAAUCAUGAUAACUAUUCGAAUCGCAUGGCUCUGCCGGCGAUGGUUCAAUCAA